GCCCUAGUAACGGCGAGUGAAGCGGCAACAGCUCAAAUUUGAAAUCUGGCGCAAGCCCGAGUUGUAAUUUGUAGAGGAUGCUUCUAGGUAGCGACCGGUCUAAGUUCCUUGGAACAGGACGUCAUAGAGGGUGAGAAUCCCGUAUGUGACCGGCCCGCACCUUCUACGUAGCUCCUUCGACGAGUCGAGUUGUUUGGGAAUGCAGCUCUAAAUGGGAGGUAAAUUUCUUCUAAAGCUAAAUACCGGCCAGAGACCGAUAGCGCACAAGUAGAGUGAUCGAAAGAUGAAAAGCACUUUGGAAAGAGAGUUAAAAAGCACGUGAAAUUGUUGAAAGGGAAGCGCUUACAACCAGACUUCUGGGCGGUGUUCCGCCGGUCUUCUGACCGGUCUACUCGCCGUCCCGAGGCCAACAUCAUCUGGGACCGCUGGAUAAGACCUGAGGAAUGUAGCUCCCCUCGGGGAGUGUUAUAGCCUCUGGUGAUGCAGCGCGUCUCGGGUGAGGUCCGCGCUUCGGCAAGGAUGUUGGCGUAAUGGUUGUCAGCGGCCCGUCUUGAAACACGGACCAAGGAGUCUAACAUCUAUGCGAGUGUUCGGGUGUCAAACCCCUACGCGUAAUGAAAGUGAACGGAGGUGGGAAGGGUAACCUGCACCAUCGACCGAUCCUGAUGUCCUCGGAUGGAUUUGAGUAAGAGCAUAGCUGUUGGGACCCGAAAGAUGGUGAACUAUGCCUGAAUAGGGUGAAGCCAGAGGAAACUCUGGUGGAGGCUCGCAGCGGUUCUGACGUGCAAAUCGAUCGUCAAAUUUGGGUAUAGGGGCGAAA
This 820-nucleotide ribosomal RNA is filed under the name Ramularia uredinicola. RNAcentral's name for it is "eukaryotic LSU rRNA". It matches the Rfam family "Eukaryotic large subunit ribosomal RNA", at positions 77 to 928 of the family's 3401-position model. Lineage: Eukaryota; Fungi; Ascomycota; Dothideomycetes; Mycosphaerellales; Mycosphaerellaceae. The record is from RNAcentral.